UUGUAAGCCAUAAAUGAAANCCAUUUUCUAAGGGUAU
Molecule: transfer RNA, 37 nt
Filed under: Loxodonta africana (African savanna elephant)
Lineage: Eukaryota; Metazoa; Chordata; Mammalia; Proboscidea; Elephantidae
Description: partial tRNA-Thr
Source: RNAcentral